Long non-coding RNA from Pomacea canaliculata, 1256 nucleotides. RefSeq lists it as uncharacterized. The transcript has 4 exons. The record is from RefSeq and is a predicted model, not a curated record. Lineage: Eukaryota; Metazoa; Mollusca; Gastropoda; Architaenioglossa; Ampullariidae.
AAGAUUAGUAACAAUAGUUUAUAAACACACUAUUACUAUAGGCAUUCGCUUAACAAAUGUCAGACUGUCAGGAGGGAACCUGUUGAUCGUUAAUGAUGAGUCGACUCUUUGCUCUUCUAACCCUAAGGACACUCACGAUUACCUGAUAUUUCUCAAUACAUGUAAUGUGAUGUGGUCAAAAAAGUCAUAAUUCAUCUAUGUCGCGUGUCAUGAUUUCGUCUACGUCUGUAUCUCUCUCAGCGCGGGGGGACGCUCCUGUAUUGGAGAGGUAGCUCACAGCAGACGACGGUUAACGUGUGUUUUCAGGCUAUUUUUGUCCGGUUCGCGGGAAGAGGUCAAGGCCUUCGCCCGUUGUCUAUAGCAGCAGCUGACGUCACAGUCUUACUACGUCUCGAGAGGUCUGCUCGAGGGCUGGUCGCUGCUGGUGAGAGUUUUUUUUUACCAAGGCGCUGAGUAGAGCGGAGAGUUUUUUGAGAAGACGGCUGGAGUCUGUGCUGUGAGGCAAGGUGCCGGUUGUAUGCUCUGCCACGACUGACCCAAGCUUGUGGGCACUGAGAAGCUGGUUGUACUAGCGAGUUGAUGCCAGCAGUGACCACCGGGACUUAAGUGCGGAGGCUGGCGGAAUGACAGCAUUGGGCUGUGACAUCCAGUGUCUACGGGAGUGUGCUUCCGUUUCUUCUCGGGUUGACCGUCGGUCAUUAACAUAAGCCGUGUGGACUUCCCGGUGUACACUGUUCACUUCCUGGACAAGCUUUGCAAUCAUGGGACUCCACCCCAGCUUGAUCAUCUGCAGCAGACGUUACAGCAGCUUCUGAUUUCACUUUUUUUUUGGAAAUAGUAGACAUCAGACGGGUGAAAUGUGGAAGAAACAUUUCUUCUUUUUUUAAAAAAAGUUGCAAAAGCAUCGCCCUCCACAACACACAACCAUUGCUCCUUCUGGAGAGAAUCCAUGGAUAUUCCGGCUUCAAUCAAGGCCUCACAUAUGUGUUGGGCACUCUCCAGUUCUUUGGACUGCUUUUUCCUACCUGGAAAAUCCACAAUAACAGUAUACAGCUGCUGAGCCUGGAGUGGCCGCCAGAAGGUCCAACACCACAACAGCGGGUCAAGAUUUCUGAAGAGCUGGACGUCCUAUGGCGAUGAUUCUGUUCGUGUUAUAUUAGCCGCUUGUGGUGUAUUGAAAAAAGUACCAGUCACUCCCAAAUACCACAUUUUGAUAAAGUAUAAACGAUGUUAAUCAGGAGAUUCUUACCCGCCAA